AGAGUUUGAUCCUGGCUCAGAUUGAACSCUGGCGGCAGGCUUAMCACAUGCAAGUCGAGCGGAGAUGAGGUGCUUGCACCUUAUCUUAGCGGCGGACSGGUGAGUAAUGCUUAGGAAUCUGCCUAUUAGUGGGGGACAACAUUCCGAAAGGAAUGCUAAUACCGCAUACGUCCUACGGGAGAAAGCAGGGGAUCUUCGGACCUUGCGCUAAUAGAUGAGCCUAAGUCGGAUUAGCUAGUUGGUGGGGUAAAGGCCUACCAAGGCGACGAUCUGUAGCGGGUCUGAGAGGAUGAUCCGCCACACUGGGACUGAGACACGGCCCAGACUCCUACGGGAGGCAGCAGUGGGGAAUAUUGGACAAUGGGGGGAACCCUGAUCCAGCCAUGCCGCGUGUGUGAAGAAGGCCUUAUGGUUGUAAAGCACUUUAAGCGAGGAGGAGGCUACUGAGACUAAUACUCUUGGAUAGUGGACGUUACUCGCAGAAUAAGCACCGGCUAACUCUGUGCCAGCAGCCGCGGUAAUACAGAGGGUGCGAGCGUUAAUCGGAUUUACUGGGCGUAAAGCGUGCGUAGGCGGCUUUUUAAGUCGGAUGUGAAAUCCCCGAGCUUAACUUGGGAAUUGCAUUCGAUACUGGGAAGCUAGAGUAUGGGAGAGGAUGGUAGAAUUCCAGGUGUAGCGGUGAAAUGCGUAGAGAUCUGGAGGAAUACCGAUGGCGAAGGCAGCCAUCUGGCCUAAUACUGACGCUGAGGUACGAAAGCAUGGGGAGCAAACAGGAUUAGAUACCCUGGUAGUCCAUGCCGUAAACGAUGCCUACUAGCCGUUGGGGCCUUUGAGGCUUUAGUGGCGCAGCUAACGCGAUAAUAGACCGCCUGGGA
This 875-nucleotide ribosomal RNA is filed under the name uncultured organism. RNAcentral describes it as "bacterial SSU rRNA". It matches the Rfam family "Bacterial small subunit ribosomal RNA", at positions 9 to 873 of the family's 1533-position model. The record is from RNAcentral.